UGGAUCGAUGAUGACUACUGGUGGCGUACGAGUCGUAGAUGAUGAAUACGUGUCUGGAACUGAGGUCCAA
Equus caballus (horse) is the source of this 70-nucleotide small nucleolar RNA. The record is from Ensembl. NCBI's taxonomy places the organism in Eukaryota, Metazoa, Chordata, Mammalia, Perissodactyla, Equidae.